RNAcentral lists this ribosomal RNA (366 nucleotides) under Nephroselmis pyriformis. Its description in RNAcentral is "partial Eukaryotic small subunit ribosomal RNA". It matches the Rfam family "Eukaryotic small subunit ribosomal RNA", at positions 1466 to 1830 of the family's 1831-position model. Lineage: Eukaryota; Viridiplantae; Chlorophyta; Nephroselmidophyceae; Nephroselmidales; Nephroselmidaceae. The record is from RNAcentral.
GAUGCCCUUAGAUGUUCUGGGCCGCACGCGCGCUACACUGAUGAAUUCAACGAGCCUACAACCUUGGCCGAAAGGUCUGGGUAAUCUUUGAAAUUUCAUCGUGAUGGGGAUAGAUUAUUGCAAUUAUUAAUCUUCAACGAGGAAUGCCUAGUAAGCGCGAGUCAUCAGCUCGCGUUGAUUACGUCCCUGCCCUUUGUACACACCGCCCGUCGCUCCUACCGAUUGAAUGUGCUGGUGAGGAGUCCGGAUGAUGGGCGGGUGGCGGUCCGCCGCCGUCCGCCCGUCAGAAGUUCUUCAAACCCUCGCAUUUAGAGGAAGGAGAAGUCGUAACAAGGUUUCCGUAGGUGAACCUGCGGAAGGAUCAUU